This 62-nucleotide transfer RNA is filed under the name Epitonium scalare. RNAcentral's name for it is "tRNA-Glu". Lineage: Eukaryota; Metazoa; Mollusca; Gastropoda; Epitoniidae. The record is from RNAcentral.
AUUCUUAUAGUGUAUCCGCACAUUAGGUUUUCAGUCUAAAAGAAUAAAUAAUUAUUAAGAAU